RNAcentral lists this ribosomal RNA (751 nucleotides) under Escherichia coli. RNAcentral describes it as "partial 23S ribosomal RNA". It matches the Rfam family "Bacterial large subunit ribosomal RNA", at positions 148 to 940 of the family's 2925-position model. Lineage: Bacteria; Pseudomonadati; Pseudomonadota; Gammaproteobacteria; Enterobacterales; Enterobacteriaceae. The record is from RNAcentral.
CUAUCAUUAACUGAAUCCAUAGGUUAAUGAGGCGAACCGGGGGAACUGAAACAUCUAAGUACCCCGAGGAAAAGAAAUCAACCGAGAUUCCCCCAGUAGCGGCGAGCGAACGGGGAGGAGCCCAGAGCCUGAAUCAGUGUGUGUGUUAGUGGAAGCGUCUGGAAAGGCGCGCGAUACAGGGUGACAGCCCCGUACACAAAAAUGCACAUAUUGUGAGCUCGAUGAGUAGGGCGGGACACGUGGUAUCCUGUCUGAAUAUGGGGGGACCAUCCUCCAAGGCUAAAUACUCCUGACUGACCGAUAGUGAACCAGUACCGUGAGGGAAAGGCGAAAAGAACCCCGGCGAGGGGAGUGAAAAAGAACCUGAAACCGUGUACGUACAAGCAGUGGGAGCCUCUUAAUGGGGUGACUGCGUACCUUUUGUAUAAUGGGUCAGCGACUUAUAUUCUGUAGCAAGGUUAACCGAAUAGGGGAGCCGAAGGGAAACCGAGUCUUAACUGGGCGUUAAGUUGCAGGGUAUAGACCCGAAACCCGGUGAUCUAGCCAUGGGCAGGUUGAAGGUUGGGUAACACUAACUGGAGGACCGAACCGACUAAUGUUGAAAAAUUAGCGGAUGACUUGUGGCUGGGGGUGAAAGGCCAAUCAAACCGGGAGAUAGCUGGUUCUCCCCGAAAGCUAUUUAGGUAGCGCCUCGUGAAUUCAUCUCCGGGGGUAGAGCACUGUUUCGGCAAGGGGGUCAUCCCGACUUACC